UGGUGGAGUGAUUUGUCUGGUUAAUUCCGUUAACGAACGAGACCUCGACCUGCUAAAUAGUUUUGCGAAUUCUUCGGGAUUUGAUUAUUAAACUUCUUAGAGGGACUAUCGGUGAUUUAGCCGACGGAAGUUCGAGGCAAUAACA
RNAcentral lists this ribosomal RNA (145 nucleotides) under uncultured eukaryote. RNAcentral's name for it is "partial 18S ribosomal RNA". It matches the Rfam family "Eukaryotic small subunit ribosomal RNA", at positions 1299 to 1458 of the family's 1831-position model. The record is from RNAcentral.